RNAcentral lists this transfer RNA (83 nucleotides) under Canis lupus familiaris (dog). It matches the Rfam family "tRNA". Rfam says of the family: Transfer RNA (tRNA) molecules are approximately 80 nucleotides in length. Their secondary structure includes four short double-helical elements and three loops (D, anti-codon, and T loops). RNAcentral also lists the same sequence under 1 other name. Lineage: Eukaryota; Metazoa; Chordata; Mammalia; Carnivora; Canidae. The record is from Rfam by way of RNAcentral.
GCCUGGGUGGCUCAGUGGUUGAGCGCCUGCCUUCAGCUCAGGGCCUGACCUUGGAGACCCGGGAUCGAGUCCCGCAUCGGGCU